AACAGCGGGCCGUUACACUCACAGUGUAAGAACAGACUGACAAUUCCAGGGCGCUGGCUUUUAUGAAAAUAGGAAACGCCACGAUGCACUCUAACGUGGAGAUGGGGCGCCGUUCACAUUGAGAUGAGAGGUGGAAAAGAGAGCUCGCCCUUCUUGCAUUGUCACACGGAGCGGCCCUCUCCCCGUGCAGCGUGGAGUCCCCUGGGCGCAGGCGAGGCUCAGGCGGGACGCGGCGGAGACCGAGCUUGUCCCUGUGUGGACCCGGGCAACUGCCGGUGGGCGAGGCCUGGAUGGUGGCCAGGCCACAGCCACCCGGACGUUUGCGAGCGCCGAAGGUGUGUAAAAAUCGCUCCAGUGGUGAAUUGGAAACACCCAGUGCCAGGAAGUGCUUCCACAGGCUUAAUGCAUCUCUGCUCCUUCUUUUUUCAGAAAAAUUCAAAGUGUUUAGACGGGGGAUGCUGAGAGAGAAGCCGGCUUGCUGGGAGGUGCGAGCCCAGAGCACACGCUCCACCUAGACUGCGGGCAGUGCCCCACCAUGAGGAGCUCAGCAGUUUCUUCACGUGGUGGUUUCCACCAUGCAAAAACAUCCAAGAUCUAUUGUUUAUGUAGCUUGUACUUAGGGUCAGGCCCCGGUUCAAUUCCUAACAUUGACAUUUUGUAUUUGUGUGACUAAUACACGUGUUAUUAAGAAAGUUACUACUGUCUUUAAGAUGCAGUUUCCUCAUCUGUGAAAUGGAAUAUUUGUGUAUUCCAUAUGUUAUAUAAUAUUACUGCCUGCUUAACCUUGGCCUAGUGUUUGAAGGACACAAAUCCUGAGUCUAGCACAGAGCAGGUGCUUAAUGAAUACCCCAGACACGGAGGAAGGCAGCAUCUGGAUUCCAAGUUCUUUUCCUGUAUAUACAUUUAUAUCUCUCUGAAUAGGCAUCUGCGUGUGUUUCUUUUAUUAUAGACAGGUUGUCUGAUCUCAAUCCGUUAGAGAUGGGGUAGCCUUAGGGACCCUCUGGUCCCACAUCUCACUGUACAGGGGAUGCAGGAUUUGCCAAGGUCCUACCCAUUAGUGAGUAGCAGAGCCUGGAUGAGUUCCUCGGAUCAGGAGGAGGCGGUGUGCUCCUGUCCUCCUGUGAGAUGAAGCCAUUCUUAAUCCCAGCCUCGGAUCAGGAGGAGGGGCUGUGCUCCUGUUCUCCUGUGAGAUGAAGCUGUGCUCAACCCCGGCCUCGGAUCAGGAGGAGGGGCUGUGCUCCUGUCCUCCUGUGAGAUGAGGCCAUGCUCAAUCCCAGGACAGGUGCAGGCGAUUGCUUUCACCUUCUAACUUUAGAAUCUGGAGAGUCCGCAUAGCUCCUACUUUCGAAGCUGCCUCAGAGAGUCUUUGUUAUUGCAAAAUGCGUGUGGGCAGGCUGGACCAGGCAGUGGAUCUUGUUGUUUUGUUAGGGAGAAAGGAAAACUGAAGUUCCAUCACCUGCCAGUUAGUCUUGGUCUACCUCCAACCCAAACUUGGGCUCAGUGAAGCAGAUUAAUAAAGCAAUGGGGCAUCUCUGGCUGCUGCGAGCACCAUGAAUAUGCAUGCAGUGCAGGCCACCGGCUGGAACGCUUUUCCCACCCUGGAAUUCGCCAGUCACGUUUCUACUCUCUGGGUUUCUUUCUAAGUUGAAAGAUUCUGGAAUUGUGGAGCUGGAAGGGAUAUUAGUGAAGACCAUCUGGUCCAGUGUCCUCAUUUUACAGAUGAGCUAACUGAGGCCAGAGGGGAAGGGCCACUCCAGGGCACACUGCGAAUGGCUCCCAAACCCAGGACCAGGCCAGAUCUCGCAGCUCUUGCUCCAGAGGAUGCUUAGUGCCUGCAGUGCUUAGGGCACUCAUUUUUUUGCUGAAUUUUGUUUAUUGAGACCAUAUGGAAAGCGAGUUGAGGCUGAAGUUACAUGCAUUCAGGACCAAGAGAAAUGCAAUUGAUCACAAGAUCCUUCUGUGUUGGGCCGCUGAGCAAAUCGUGGGGUCACCCUCUCUCUUAGCAGUACAGGCUAUGUCGAUAUGAUGAUAUCACCUUAGAGCUAAUGAAAUGCAUUCCUGAGAAAUAAAAUGAUCGUUUCUGUUUUCUGCAGAGCAAUUCCAAAUGAGAGAAGCAAUAACACUUUUUAUGACCUAUUCAAAUCACUCUCAUUUCACUAAACAACCUUCACACCUGUGGCAGUUCUUGCUUCCCUCGCAGGGGAACUACCCUGAUGUCGGAGAAAACUAUCCUUGAGUGAGGCCUGACACUAUGCCUGUGAUGAUGUGAGCCAUCUGCAAAAUUCACCGUGGAGGACAGAAUGCCACUUAGGCUAAAGCAGGAGGAAGGGGCCUAUAAUUCUCGUCAUCUUUUGUUUGAAUGCAAACGAAACUACAGCCCAGGAAAUAAAUUCAAUGUACUUUGACAAAACAUGGGUAAUCUUACCAGCAUAGUCUCAAGUGGAGAAAGGUGACCACCUAAACUAAGAAUCAACAAAAAUCAAACAAAAUGAAACAUGUUGUUUAGAAAUGCAUUCAUUUGUGAUAAAACUGUUUUUAAAAAGCAAGAACAUGAUAGACACCCAAUUUGGGAUAGUGGCCAUGUUUAGAGGGCUGCAGGGGGGAUGCUGUGUAGGAGAGGCACAGAAAAUUGGUGUUGUUUGUAAAUUCGGGGGUGAGUUAAAAAAGUAGGGAAGAAGGAAGAUACCAAACCAACUUCUGGACAGAACUUCUGACUUUGUAGCAGCCUUGCAGUCUUUAUUAAGCAAGAUGCGUUAUGCCAAUGAUUUCAGAUAAUUUACUAGCAAGAGGAUACUCAAUUCUAUCUUGUUUACGAAUGAAAACUCCAAAAUAAAUGAGGCUCUGUGCCGCGGCACCUCGUUAUUUCUUGUUCUGC
This 2875-nucleotide long non-coding RNA is filed under the name Pan troglodytes (chimpanzee). RNAcentral describes it as "lincRNA". The record is from RNAcentral. Lineage: Eukaryota; Metazoa; Chordata; Mammalia; Primates; Hominidae.